GCCGGGAUGGCGAAAUUGGCAAACGCACGGGACUUAAAAUCCCGCGACCGUAAGGUUUUGUGGGUUCAACUCCCUCUCCCGGCA
RNAcentral lists this transfer RNA (84 nucleotides) under Candidatus Omnitrophota bacterium. RNAcentral's name for it is "Candidatus Omnitrophica bacterium tRNA-Leu". It matches the Rfam family "tRNA". From Rfam's summary of the family: Transfer RNA (tRNA) molecules are approximately 80 nucleotides in length. Their secondary structure includes four short double-helical elements and three loops (D, anti-codon, and T loops). Lineage: Bacteria; Pseudomonadati; Candidatus Omnitrophota. The record is from RNAcentral.